UUUUGAAAAGUUAUCAUCACUACCCACUCCCACCACCAACUCCCUGCAAAAAUCAUGCAGUAGCACACCCACUGAUAUACUUCACCCAUCCCCUUCCACUUCUACUCAAUCUCCCACCCACUUCUCACAAAUCCCUCGCAAAAACGAAUGGAAACUCAACUUCAGGAGCAAGCUUUUUCAGAAUGUACAUCAAGCUCAUCUCCCUCACCUAUUUUCAGCACACACAAUUGAGCAUCCCUCUCGAUCAAGGUUUUUACUCUCCAAAUUCUAAGUUGUUUCAAAUUACGGAUUACACUUUCAUGUACCUCUUUCAUGACUUGUUUUAGACAAAGGCACCACAACAACCCAUCCACUGGACUGAAUAAAGAAAUGAACUUUACAUAUGCAUAUAUCUUUGUAUAUCUUCCCAUAUAUGUGUUUAAGCAAAAGUAUCAAAUGUUUUUACAAUUGAGAAUAAAGCAAUGAGAUAGAUAUUGAUAAACAAGCAUG
RNAcentral lists this long non-coding RNA (489 nucleotides) under Salvia miltiorrhiza (redroot sage). RNAcentral's name for it is "long non-coding RNA (SMIL_LNC003773)". The record is from RNAcentral. Lineage: Eukaryota; Viridiplantae; Streptophyta; Magnoliopsida; Lamiales; Lamiaceae.